This 2705-nucleotide long non-coding RNA is filed under the name Mus musculus (house mouse). Its description in RNAcentral is "predicted gene, 50210". Lineage: Eukaryota; Metazoa; Chordata; Mammalia; Rodentia; Muridae. The record is from RNAcentral.
AGCUCUUGCUCUUGCUCCUUCGCCUGCUUGCUGCGUGAGACUGAGUAACUGCUAGAUCCUUGGACUUCCAUUCACAGCUGCGACUGAACCAUUGUUGGGAAUUGGGCUGCCGACUUGCAGAAAACAGAUGGAUCAUGGAGAAUGACAGUUGAUUACCGAAAACUAAAUCAGGUAGUAACUCCAAUUGCAGCUGCUGUACCAGAUGUAGUUUCGUUACUUGAGCAAAUUAACACAUCUCCUGGCACCUGGUAUGUGGCUAUUGAUCUGGCAAAUGCCUUCUUCUCAGUACCUGUCCAUAAGGACCACCAGAAGCAAUUUGCUUUCAGUUGGCAAGGCCAACAGUAUACCUUCACAGUUUUGCCUCAAGGAUAUAUUAACUCUCCUGCCCUGUGUCAUAAUUUAGUUAGAAGGGAUCUUGAUCGUUUGGAUCUUCCACAAAAUAUCACAUUGGUGCACUAUAUUGAUGACAUUAUGCUGAUUGGACCAAGUGAGCAGGAAGUAGCAACCACUUUGGACUCAUUGGUAACACAUAUGCGUAUCAGAGGAUGGGAAAUAAAUCCAACCAAAAUUCAAGGACCAUCUACCUCAGUGAAAUUCUUAGGAGUCCAGUGGUGUGGGGCAUGCAGAGAUAUUCCUUCUAAGGUGAAAGAUAAGUUAUUGCACCUGGCCCCUCCUACAACCAAGAAAGAAGCACAACGUUUAGUGGGUCUAUUUGGAUUCUGGAGACAACACAUCCCUCACUUGGGUGUGUUACUUAGGCCUAUUUACCAAGUGACUCGGAAAGCUGCUAGCUUUGUGUGGGGCCUGGAACAGGAGAAGGCCCUUCAACAGGUCCAGGCUGCUGUGCAGGCUGCUCUACCACUUGGACCAUAUGACCCAGCAGAUCCGAUGGUACUUGAGGUGUCUGUGGCUGAUAGAGAUGCUGUUUGGAGCCUCUGGCAGGCCCCUGUAGGUGAAUCACAGAAAAGGCCUUUGGGAUUUUGGAGCAAAGCUCUACCAUCAUCUGCAGACAACUAUUCUCCCUUUGAAAAACAGCUCUUGGCCUGCUAUUGGGCCUUAGUGGAAACUGAACGUCUGACAAUAGGACACCAAGUCACUAUGCGACCUGAACUACCCAUCAUGAGCUGGGUACUAUCAGACCCUGCAAGUCAUAAAGUGGGACGUGCACAGCAGCAGUCUAUUAUCAAAUGGAAGUGGUAUAUACGUGAUCGGGCCAGAGCAGGUCCUGAAGGCACAAGCAAGUUACAUGAAGAAGUUGCUCAAAUGCCUAUGGUUUCUACUCCUGUUACAAUGCCAUCUGCUGCCAAGCAUGCACCUAUAGCCUCAUGGGGUGUUCCCUAUGAUCAACUGACCGAAGAGGAGAAGACUAGAGCCUGGUUUACUGAUGGCUCUGCACGUUAUGCAGGCACCACCCAGAAGUGGACAGCUGCAGCAUUACAACCCCUUUCUGGGACAACCUUGAAAGACACAGGUGAAGGGAAAUCUUCACAGUGGGCAGAACUUCGGGCAGUACACAUGGUAUUACAGUUUGUUUGCAAGAAGAAAUGGCCAGAUGUACGAUUAUACACUGAUUCAUGGGCUGUAGCCAAUGGAUUGGCUGGAUGGUCAGGGACUUGGAAAGAUCACAAUUGGAAAAUUGGUGAGAAAGACAUCUGGGGAAGAAGUAUGUGGAUAGAUCUCUCCAAAUGGGCAAAGGAUGUGAAGAUAUUUGUGUCCCAUGUAAAUGCUCACCAAAAGGUGACUUCAGCUGAGGAGGAGUUCAAUAAUCAAGUGGAUAAGAUGACCCGUUCUGUGGACAAUCAGCCUCUCUCCCCAGCCAUCCCUGUCAUUGCUCAAUGGGCACAUGAACAAAGUGGCCAUGGUGGUCGAGAUGGAGGUUAUGCUUGGGCUCAGCAACAUGGGCUUCCACUCACCAAAGCUGACCUGGCUACAGCUGCUGCUGAUUGCCAGAUCUGCCAACAGCAGAAACCAACACUGAGUCCCAGAUAUGGCACCAUUCCUCGAGGUGACCAGCCAGCAACCUGGUGGCAGGUUGACUACAUUGGACCACUUCCUUCGUGGAAAGGACAGCGUUUUGUUCUUACUGGAGUAGAUACUUAUUCUGGUUAUGGAUUUGCCUUUCCUGCACGUAAUGCCUCUGCUAAAACCACCAUUCAUGGAUUGACAGAAUGCCUCAUCUAUCGUCAUGGUAUUCCACACAGUAUUGCUUCUGACCAAGGAACUCAUUUCACAGCCAGAGAAGUACGACAGUGGGCCCACGAUCAUGGAAUUCACUGGUCUUACCACAUUCCCCAUCAUCCUGAAGCAGCUGGGCUGAUAGAAAGAUGGAAUGGCCUUUUGAAGAUGCAGUUACAGCGCCAAUUAGGCGGUAACAGCUUGGAAGGCUGGGGCAGAGUUCUUCAGAAGGCAGUAUAUGCUUUGAAUCAGCGCUCGAUAUAUGGUACAGUUUCACCCAUAGCCAGGAUUCAUGGGUCCAGGAAUCAAGGGGUGGAAAAUGGAAUAGUUCCACUUACUAUCACUCCUAGUGACCCUUUAGGAAAAUUUUUGCUUCCUGUCCCCAUAACUCUAGGUUCUGCUGGCUUAGAAGUUUUGGCUCCAGAGAGGGGAGUGCUCCUACCAGGAGCUACAACAAACAUUCCAUUGAACUGGAAGCUCAGACUUCCCCCUGGUCAUUUUGGGCUUCUAAUGCCCUUAAACCAACAGGC